CGUAUAAAACAGGCCUUAAAGGCGGUUUUCCACUAGGCGGAAUUUUUCGACCGAAUCGAAAUUUCUCUUUGUUUCAUGAGCUCUCAAGCAGAACUAAUUGUAAAAAGACAAAGAGAAAUUUCGUUUCGGUCGAAAAAUUCCGCCUCGUGGAAUCCGGCCUUAAAGGCCUUUUUCCAUUAACG
RNAcentral lists this microRNA precursor (182 nucleotides) under Paramuricea clavata. Lineage: Eukaryota; Metazoa; Cnidaria; Anthozoa; Malacalcyonacea; Plexauridae. The record is from RNAcentral.